Jaculus jaculus (lesser Egyptian jerboa) is the source of this 1116-nucleotide long non-coding RNA. RefSeq lists it as uncharacterized. The transcript is spliced from 4 exons. The record is from RefSeq and is a predicted model, not a curated record. NCBI's taxonomy places the organism in Eukaryota, Metazoa, Chordata, Mammalia, Rodentia, Dipodidae.
GCCCUAGACUACAAAAGGUGCUAUCAGACCAGUGGAGUCUUGUAAAGACUACAGAUGAAACUUCGAAUGUGGCUGUCGGAGCAAACACACUUGCAAAUGAGCAGUGAGCUGAUACGUGCCCAACACAGACUAUCUGGUCUAUUUUUGCGCCAGUACCAUCCUGUUUGUAUUGUUGUGGCUUGAAGUCAGGCAUGGUGAUACCUCCUGCAGUAUUCUUUUUGCUGAAGACAGUUUUGGCUAUGCCAGGGUCUUUUGUGCAUCAGUGCAAAGCAAGUUGUCUGUUUGGAUAAAAGAGAGGAAGCUGAAGGUGCAGGAAUGUGGUAGUGAGAUAAGUAUGGUAGCAGAAGUCUAAGAUGACACUGUGUGACCCAGGUCCUGUUCCUGCCCUCCCCUUCCUAUGUGAGUGGAACAGGUAGACACAAUGAGAGAGCAUCUCACGUGACUUUAAGGCACCUGAUCUACUCUCCUGGGCCUUGAAGUCUCUGGCUAGUGACACAGAAGGUCAGAGAUGGACACUACGAUAGCCACUGAAAGCAAGGGAAUUUUCCAGUGCUGUCCUUGGGGGUGGAGGUGCCUGAAGCCAUGGAGGAGUGAGGGAGCCGAGAACAAGUCCAGUUGUCAGCUGGGAAGCACGGGCUUCAUUCUUAGGGCCCCAACAGAAGGAAAUAUCAUAUCUCCCACGUGUGCCUGAGAGAUCCACACCUCCAAGAAGAGCCGGGUUCUAGAAGUCACCUUGCUGAAGCCUACGGGAAAACCUGAAGCAUAGAGCCCAGCCAAGCCAGGCCCAGACUUCCACAGAACUGAGCACUUAACCACGGUUAUUCUUCAAAGGGACAGAAGGGUAAGAUGAGUUGGAAGCCCAAGUUUGAAGCCCCCAAGAUACCAGGCUAUCAAGGCAUUCAGCAGGCUCCGAAACCAACCGUCUGUGACUCCCAACAUCUCGGGAGACAUUACCAUGAAGACUGCAUAUGGUAGACCUGCCUUGUGUGCUUACUACACAUCCAUGAAUCAGCUGAAUAUUGCUUUGUGUGUUGUAAUUUAUAUAUAUUGUAUACAGAUUUAUCACAUCUUUCUCUAUUCACUUGAUGUAACAUAUUUGAGUCAUUUUCUACUGAC